This 244-nucleotide ribosomal RNA is filed under the name uncultured bacterium. Its description in RNAcentral is "partial 16S ribosomal RNA". It matches the Rfam family "Bacterial small subunit ribosomal RNA", at positions 91 to 334 of the family's 1533-position model. The record is from RNAcentral.
CGGACCGGCGCACGGGUGAGUAACGCGUAUGCAACCUACCUAUCAGAGGGGAAGAACCCGGCGAAAGUCGGACUAAUACCGCAUAAAACAGGGGUUCCACAUGGAAAUAUUUGUUAAAGAAUUAUCGCUGAUAGAUGGGCAUGCGUUCCAUUAGAUAGUUGGUGAGGUAACGGCUCACCAAGUCCACGAUGGAUAGGGGUUCUGAGAGGAAGGUCCCCCACACUGGUACUGAGACACGGACCAG